UACGGAGGAUGCAAGCGUUAUCCGGAAUCAUUGGGCGUAAAGCGUCCGCAGGUGGCAGUUCAAGUCUGCUGUUAAAGACAGAAGCUCAACUUCUGGUCAGCAGUGGAAACUGGACAGCUAGAGUACGGUAGGGGUUGAGGGAAUUCCCAGUGUAGCGGUGAAAUGCGUAGAUAUUGGGAAGAACACCAGUGGCGAAGGCGCUCAACUGGGCCGUAACUGACACUCAGGGACGAAAGCUAGGGUAGCGAAAGGG
This 253-nucleotide ribosomal RNA is filed under the name uncultured bacterium. RNAcentral's name for it is "partial 16S ribosomal RNA". It matches the Rfam family "Bacterial small subunit ribosomal RNA", at positions 524 to 776 of the family's 1533-position model. The record is from RNAcentral.